CGUGGCCACACCCAUCCUCAGAGCAGGUGGAGACGCAAGCUUGCCUGAGCCCUGGAGAAGCAACCAGAUUCAGUGGGAACAAAGCCGGCCACCUGGAGAGAAAGUGCUCCAACUCGCUGCCAAAGAAAGGCAAAUCAGAGCAGCCGGGAGACGCCGUGUGACUGUUUGCCAAAGUUGACAAAAGCGAAAGCGAGUGGGACCCUGGCCUUUAGGCAAGUGCUGAUCUUUUGAGCCUUCUGGUGGAGAGAAGGGAAGGGAGAGGGCUGGGGACCUGGCGGGGAGCGGGGAAGUCCAGCUCAGCGUCAGGGAAAGUGGUGUCAGGCACAGGUUAGGGAAGGGCAGGGCGGAACAGCUCUGGCUGGCUCUGCUGGAAGGUGAUUCGCGCACCAUGGUUCUCUUUAGGAUUAGGAGGCAGGUGCCUUAGAAGCAGGCUUUGCCUUGCGGGUGCCUGUAGCUAAUCCUCACGCGGAGAGAAAGGCUGAGGGAAGGUCAGGAAAAGCAGGAUCACCGCAUCUUCCCCCUGGGGUUCUCCGGGAACCGUCUCCUGGUUCUCCUGGUUCUCCAGGAUGACAGGAGAAUGAUCAAUCCCAGGAGGCCGAAAAGCAAAGACCGCCUGUCCCACGGAAGAAACUUGCAAUGUAUGAAUAAGAAAAGUGGCCAUUGCAGGGGUUAUCCAGCCCAGGGCGGGAGCCAUCUCAGAAGCCAGGAGACCUCUGUCUGGGCAGGGGCCCCGGGGCCGCCUUUGAAACUCUCUCCAACGCACACACACCCGCUGGGAGCCCCCCGGAGGAACGCUUGCCCCCAGGAAACCGAAACUCCCUAUGGACACCAGGACCCUCCUCCCAGAGGAAGGAUCGUUGAGCCGCUCCCUGAUGGAAGACAGUUCCAGAACUCAGGAAGAGGGAAGAAAGAGAGCACUAAAUCUCCUCUCAUCAUCGUCAUGAUGAAGCCCGCGGCGGCCCGGCCCCAUCCCCAUGCCCUCCAGGACAACAAAGUGCUCUAUUGUGAUCUAUUACAUUUUUCUCAAAAACCUUCAGCCGAGCACAAGGCCAGCGCCAUAUCCUGCACGGGCUCUCCCUCAUUGUCCCCGCCGAGGGAAACGGAAUGUGUCAGUCUGAGUAAUGCGCCUUCAAUGCUUCUCAGGAGCCGCUGGCUCGGCCGGGAUAAAGCCGCCCCCACCCUUUCUCAGGCCCGGCCCGGGAUGAAAGCUGCCCGCGCCGCCGGGCAGCCACUGCGCCACCUGGUCCACGGGCCGGGGCCAGCUAGGGGGACAGGGCUGGUGGCCGGCCCCUUCCCUGCUCCCACCCCCCACCGUGGGUCCAGGGGUUACAGUGGGGGCAGGGGGUACUCGGAGACGGGGAGCAGGAGUCACGGGAGCAACAGGGAACCAGCCCUCAGGAGCUGGAGGGGAAACUGGGGGAAAGACACUCAAGAGCUGGGAGGAAGUAGGUACCAGGGCGUGAGCCUGGCCACACAGUCCUCGGGCAAACCCACCCUGCUCUGCCCUGUCCCACCUGGCCCCAGCCCUUGCCCUGCCGGUGACCAAGAGGCAGCAGCAGCUCCCACCAGCGCCUGCACGACAAAGCCCUGACACACACCCUUCCCGUGACUUCCGUGUUUGUGGCUAUCGAAAUCAAAGCCGGCUACCUACAUCUUGUCAUUCAUUCAUACCCUCUCAUGCAUUCAUUCCUACUCUACCCGCUGCUUGAAUGAGUGGGACAUGGGCAGGCGCAGGUGGGGGAGGGGGUGAAAGGGACUCUGCCUGCAGCUUGGGUGGCGCCUGACGCUGUGAUCCCCAGCAGGACCUGCUCCAUCAGCCGCAGGGCCCCCAUGCAGAGUGAGGAUGCGGACCCCUGCAUUUCCCAAAACUGCUGAGGGCUGUUCCGCCAUGGCUGCAUAGCACUGAGCCAAGCACUGACGCCUUCUGAGGCUGGCCCUGUGUGACCGCGCCAGCCGGCUGGUGACACUGCCUUGCGCUUGGUGUCUCUCCAUUCCCUCCACGUGCUGGGACUCGGCCCAGGCAAGCAUGUUGACUCCAGGGUAGGGGGAGUCAUGGGCCUGGGACUGAGUCUGGCCUCCCUCUCACUGGCUGGGUGAGGCUGAGCCUACACACACUUGACAGCUCUGGAAAGUCGGGCGUUCAACCAGACAGCCUCAAAGCCCUCCAGCCCAGCUCCACACCCAGCGCCACACACAAGGCAGUGUUCACUCCAUGACUGCCGUGGCCCCCUGAUCUGCAGUCGUGCACCGGUGAUUGAGGGUUUGCAGUGGUAAGGGCCUUAAAGGUCACCCCGGCCAAUUGCUUUGUUGAUUAGAUGGGGAAACUGAGGCCCAGAGUCCGUAAGCCCCCGUGUGGCCGCUUGCCUGCCCUCGUGAGCCUCCCCUUCCAGGAGCGACAGGCUGUGAGAGGCACAUCCCAAUCUCCUCUCCAGUUGGUCUUCAGCAGCUGGACCAGAGCAGAGCUGACCCAGGAGCAAGCCUGGGUUGAGGAGUUGCACAUGGUCCCCAGACCUCUGCAGUCACCACUCACUGUGCCUGGAGGAAGAAAAAGGCCAGUCUUCCAGAGAGCCGGGCCCUGGAGGAACCCAAGAAGAGGCGCUUGUCCCCGAGGGCCUGCCCUGCCUCGGCGUCCUUUUCCUGGGGAACCCAAGACUCUACCUCGGCCACAGGACACAGCAUUCUCACCGGGCUUCAAGCCUGAGAUGCUGGGUGAGAGAGCAGAGGCACUGUGGCAGGUGGGAGCUUGCCCCAAGCUGGUACCUUCUUGUGGAAGAAUUGAGGGAGCAGACUGAGUAUAAACACCCUACCCAGCCAUGCCUUUUGUGAAGGGACUCUGCAGUGUCUCCCAUUGAGAAGGAGGGUGUGUCUCCCCACCUUGAACCUGGACUUGAUGUAUGACUUACUGACCAACAGAAUAUGAUGGAAGUGGCAGAGUGCCGAUUCUGGCCCAUGACUCCAGGGGCCUUGCAUGGUGCCCUGUGGUCUCUCAUGCCUCCACACAGCCCUGGCAGCCUACAAGAGAAUGACGAAUUUGUGGAGCCAAGCCAAGCUGAUCCAGAUAUUCUAGCCAAAGCCCAGAGAUGAGAGUGAACCCAGGCAGUAUCAGUGAAGCCGCCUACCUGACCUGCAGCUGAUGCUGGACACACCAGUCAGCCCAGUCCAAAGCAGAAAACCGCUAAGCUGAGCCCUGCCUCACCUGCCAAGCUAAAGGUUCAGGCAUUGUUUUAAGCCCUGUGUUUUGGGAUGGUUUGUAAUGCAGAAAUUAAUUGCGUCUAAGUUGCCAGGCAGCUGAGGAUGCCACUGUUCACACAGUUGCUGCCUUUUGCUCUUUUCUCCAGCAUUAAUUCUUUCCCCAUUCCCCUGGAAGCUGAUCUCAAGUACCCCCUUCCCCGGAGCCUGUCCUGAUCACAAUGGCCUGCAGUGCAGAGGCAGCAAAGUGUCGGAGAAAGAGCCCUGCAAAAGGCAGUAGAAAGCCCUACUUCACAGCAUCACUCACUCAUUCCCUGAGAUUUGUGCAGAGGAGAUCCAGAAAGCAGGGCGGGGAGCCGGCCUUCACAUAGCUUCUGGUCCAAUGGCAGAGACAGGCUAGGAGACAGAUGGGGACCACAUGGCCUCUUCCCUGCUCAAACCAGGUGAGCCCAUGGGAAUGCAAAAGCUGCCCCAGGGAAACUGGGUGCCCAGACCAGAGCCCACGUCCCUGGAUACCUCACUGGCCCACCUCUGACAAUUCCCUGUGUCCUGUGGACUCCAGCCCCACUGGAUUGGAAGGGCCAGGAAGGCAGACAAGGAGGCACUUCCUCUACAUCUCACAGCGCAGACAGCACCCAGGCUAGCCCCUGGGUGCAGGCUAGUGUGCCACCCUCGAAGGUACUUAGAAAGCCUUUGCUCAGUUGAACUGGAUGAUACUGGGUUGCAUUGAAUUGAAUUAACUGAGAUGAAUGGAAAUGAACCAAAUGAAGUCAAUAACACCCUUGCCUGGC
This 3980-nucleotide long non-coding RNA is filed under the name Saimiri boliviensis boliviensis (Bolivian squirrel monkey). RNAcentral describes it as "lncRNA (ENSSBOG00000036798.1)". Lineage: Eukaryota; Metazoa; Chordata; Mammalia; Primates; Cebidae. The record is from RNAcentral.